Molecule: ribosomal RNA, 253 nt
Filed under: uncultured bacterium
Lineage: Bacteria
Description: partial 16S ribosomal RNA
Rfam family: Bacterial small subunit ribosomal RNA
Source: RNAcentral
UACGUAGGGUGCGAGCGUUGUCCGGAAUUACUGGGCGUAAAGAGCUCGUAGGUGGUUUGUCGCGUUGUUCGUGAAAACUCACAACUCAAUUGUGGGCGUGCGGGCGAUACGGGCAGACUGGAGUACUGCAGGGGAGACUGGAAUUCCUGGUGUAGCGGUGGAAUGCGCAGAUAUCAGGAGGAACACCGGUGGCGAAGGCGGUUCUCUGGGCAUGUCCUGACGCUGAGGAGCGAAAGUGUGGGGAGCGAACAGG